Molecule: ribosomal RNA, 492 nt
Filed under: uncultured bacterium
Lineage: Bacteria
Description: partial 16S ribosomal RNA
Rfam family: Bacterial small subunit ribosomal RNA
Source: RNAcentral
AGUGAACGCUGGCGGUAGGCCUAACACAUGCAAGUCGAACGGCAGCACAGUAAGAGCUUGCUAUUACGGGUGGCGAGUGGCGGACGGGUGAGGAAUACAUCGGAAUCUAUUUUUUCGUGGGGGAUAACGUAGGGAAACUUACGCUAAUACCGCAUACGACCUACGGGUGAAAGCAGGGGAUCUUCGGACCUUUCGCGAUUGAAUGAGCCGAUGUCGGAUUUGCUAGUUGGCGGGGUAAAGGCCCACCAAGGCGACGAUCCGUAGCUGGUCUGAGAGGAUGAUCAGCCACACUGGAACUGAGGCACGGUCCAGACUCCUACGGGAGGCAGCAGUGGGGAAUAUUGGACAAUGGGCGCAAGCCUGAUCCAGCCAUACCGCGUGGGUGAAGAAGGCCUUCGGGUUGUAAAGCCCUUUUGUUGGGAAAGAAAAGCAGCAGCUUAAUGCCCAGAUGUUCUGACGGUACCAAAAGAAGAAGAACCGGCUAACUUCGUG